AGGGGCCUACGGGAGGCAGCAGUCGGGAAUAUUGCGCAAUGGGCGCAAGCCUGACCCAGCAACGCCGCGUGAAGGAAGAAGGCUUUCGGGUUGUAAACUUCUUUUGACAGGGAAGAGUAGAAGACGGUACCUGUCGAAUAAGCCACGGCUAACUACGUGCCAGCAGCCGCGGUAAUACGUAGGUGGCAAGUGUUGUCCGGAUUUACUGGGUGUAAAGGGCGUGUAGCCGGGUUGACAAGUCAGAUGUGAAAUCCUGCGGCUUAACCGCAGAACUGCAUUUGAAACUGUUGAUCUUGAGUACUAGA
This 305-nucleotide ribosomal RNA is filed under the name uncultured bacterium. RNAcentral's name for it is "bacterial SSU rRNA". It matches the Rfam family "Bacterial small subunit ribosomal RNA", at positions 333 to 653 of the family's 1533-position model. The record is from RNAcentral.